AAGCUCGUAGUUGAAUUUCGGGGUUCUACCGUUGGUCGGGCUAACCAGUCUGUACUAGCGUGUAGAAUUCCUACCUUCUGGGGAACCAUCAUGUUAUUAAUUUAGCGUGGUGGGAAACCAGGACCUUUACCUUGAAAAAAUUAGAGUGUUCAAAGCAGGCUUACGUCUGAAUACAUUAGCAUGGAAUAAUAAAAUAGGACGGUGGUCCUGUUUUGUUGGUUUCUGAAUCACCGUAUGAUUAAUAGGGAUAGUUGGG
This 256-nucleotide ribosomal RNA is filed under the name uncultured Scutellospora. RNAcentral's name for it is "partial 18S ribosomal RNA". It matches the Rfam family "Eukaryotic small subunit ribosomal RNA", at positions 624 to 886 of the family's 1831-position model. The record is from RNAcentral. Lineage: Eukaryota; Fungi; Glomeromycota; Glomeromycetes; Diversisporales; Gigasporaceae.